GCCCGGCUAGCUCAAUCGGUAGAGCGUAAGACUCUUACGACAAGAGAUACAAUCUUAAGGCUGUGGGUUCGACCCCCACGUCGGGCU
This 87-nucleotide transfer RNA is filed under the name Exophiala spinifera. It matches the Rfam family "tRNA". From Rfam's summary of the family: Transfer RNA (tRNA) molecules are approximately 80 nucleotides in length. The record is from Rfam by way of RNAcentral. Lineage: Eukaryota; Fungi; Ascomycota; Eurotiomycetes; Chaetothyriales; Herpotrichiellaceae.